Molecule: ribosomal RNA, 253 nt
Filed under: uncultured bacterium
Lineage: Bacteria
Description: partial 16S ribosomal RNA
Rfam family: Bacterial small subunit ribosomal RNA
Source: RNAcentral
UACGAAGGGGGCUAGCGUUGCUCGGAAUCACUGGGCGUAAAGGGUGCGUAGGCGGGUCUUUAAGUCAGGGGUGAAAUCCUGGAGCUCAACUCCAGAACUGCCUUUGAUACUGAAGAUCUUGAGUCCGGGAGAGGUGAGUGGAACUGCGAGUGUAGAGGUGAAAUUCGUAGAUAUUCGCAAGGACACCAGUGGCGAAGGCGGCUCACUGGCCCGGUACUGACGCUGAGGCACGAAAGCGUGGGGAGCAAACAGG